Molecule: long non-coding RNA, 361 nt
Filed under: Pan troglodytes (chimpanzee)
Lineage: Eukaryota; Metazoa; Chordata; Mammalia; Primates; Hominidae
Description: long non-coding RNA NONPTRT004264
Source: RNAcentral
GGAUGAGGCAAGGAGACAGGAGUGAUCUCUCCACCCUGGGCCAAGUGCCUCCAGAAAGAACGCAGCCCUACUGACACCUUGGUUUUGGCCUGGUGAGACCAACUUUGGACUUUUCACUUCCAAAACUGUGAAGUUCUGAGGCCAAGAAAGGGUAGCUGAUUUCUCCACUGGUGGGAGUACCACUCAAAACUCAAACUCUCUGUCAAAGAAAAAUUGCAGUAGAUAGUGUUAAACAGGCAAAGAAGACUUUAUUCAAGACUGCAAUCAGAGAGAGAGAUGGAACUCAACUCAGCUGAAACAAAAUGCAGAGCUAAGAAAACUGAGAUAGAAGAUUAAAAGACAAUUGGAGAAGACAUUUGUA